CUAGUGUGUUAUAUUUAAUCAUACUCUAACAUUAUCUUCUACAGUAGUGUAGGUUCCAGCUGGUGUCAAUGGAUUUAUGAACAAAAAAUAAAUAAAUAAGGACUUACAACGCACAAGAAGAAAGUGGUUUAUAAGAAAGUGAUAUGUCCUUAAACAACAAAAACAAGUAACACAAAUAAGAGGGCUAAGAGGCACUGGGUCGCACACCUGAGGGAAUGAGAUGAAAAAAAAAUUAAAGACGAGUUAAACUCGUGUGCAAAUAAUUCAGAACAUUUAUAUAACAAAGGCUGACUUCAAGUCGAGGUUAAGAUCUUCCAAAGUUUUUAAUAUAAGCAUAAAUAGAAAAUUACCCAACCUGGUUUUUGAUACUGAUUAACAAGAACCAUUUUACAAUACGAAAGUAUCAAGGAAACAUACGCUUUGACCAAAGUUCAUGAAGAUUGGGAUAAAAAUGCAACUUCUAGAGUUUUUACGUGUUUACAUUAUAAACGAAAAGAGAAAACGGCUCCACCCCAUGGCGGCCAUUUUUACCCCACCUAUCAGUACCAAUUUCGAACUUGUCUGAAAAAAUCAAUAAUACCAAUUUUCUGACUAAGUUUCAUAAUGAAGACAAUCCGCUUCCGGUUUUGAGUGAGCAUCAAUUAAAAAUGUAAUUCUUAAAACUAAAAAAAAACGCGUGUGAGGCACACAAAUAACAUUUGUGAGUGAUGUGAAGUUUAUUGAACAGGAUGUGACAUGUAAAAAAAUAAAACGAGGUUUGUGACUUUUAGAAGGCUUUUUCUCAAGCUUUUGUAUUUUUCUAUUGACGGGUGGGGUGUGAGAAAGACUCUGGAUAUUGACAUAAUAUGUGUAUACACACAUAAGGUCAUUGUGAUUGUCAUUGUCUGGCGCCUCCGUGACGCAUCAAUAAACAUGUUAAUAGUUUACCGUGACAGUAGCUAAAGUGAACACGAGUGUUUAAGGGUUUAUUGUGAAUACUGUCCCGUUAAUACCGUGUUAGUUGUGAAAUCAUGAACAAACGCCAGCAUUCAUCUACUGCGAGCGAGUUAACAGACAAUAGCUCAUUAGACUCGUCUAUAUUCGAAAGUUUAAAGGGGCAGAAGUCCAAGAAAGACUUGGAAAUCAUUGAAUGCAACAUAUUCGACCAGACAAAGGAAAUUGAAUCGUUACAUUGUCAAAUAACCAGCAAAGACAAAGAGCUACAAGACCUGAAAACAAAGCUGAAUGACUCAGAAAAGCGUACUGCAGAAAUUUUAAAUGAGCACGAGCAGUAUAGCCGUAGAAACCAUUUGCGAAUUACGGGUCUACAAGGAGACGAACAAUUUCAGUCCUCAAUAGCGUUGACUUAACAGGUGUCGUCCCUUUUAAGUUCCAAGCUUGGUCUGCGCGUUGAAAAGGAGGAUAUAGACAUAGCGCAUAGGAUAGGGAAACAUCACCGAGGGAAGAUCCGACCGGUCAUCGUCAGGUUCAUACGGCGCCAAACAAAAUCGGAUGUAAUGCGAAAUGCAAAGCUACUCAAAGGUUCCGGUAUUUUCUUGAAUGAAGACCUGACAAAAUUGAACGCUGAAGUUCUAGCGUCCGUUAGGGUGAAGGACCCCGAGACGGUGGAGCGAGCGUGGUCGUUCGAUGGGAAGCUGUAUGCACGCUUCAGAGGUAAAGAGCACUGAGAUAAUCGAUUACGAACAUUUUCAGACGUGAAUCAACAAACCAUGGCCGAAGGCGGUAGCUUCACUAUCGUACGCCAGCAGGGCUUCAGCUAGCACAAAUCGACGCCGGUAACAUAGGGCUCACCGUGUUAGAACUGACGGUGUUUUUUUUGCUAUAUCAUAUCAUUAACAGUCUAUAUUCACGUAUUUGAAAUACGUAUGCAAACCAGUUUAAUCAUGACAUUGUAACUAGACCACCCUAAUAUCUGUGUUGUGUGUUUUUUGAUCCUGUUGUUCUCUUGGUUUUUUAUUGUUUGUAAUUUCCUAAUUUAAGUACUUUUUCUCUCUAAUUCGAUAAAGAUACGCAUUUUGUUAAGCAUAUCAUACUUAUAUAAUCGAACUUAAUCUAUGUCUAUUGUUAUUAGACACAAUCUCAUACGGUGUAAGUUCACACACGCAACGUACGCACGCAUGUACAAACACACACACACACGCUUGCGCGCGCGCACACACACACACUUACACACCCAUCCACACGCACACAUGCAAGUAGUAGUAAUAUAUACUUUUAUAUUUGCUCAUUUAGAGGCCUAGAUAUACUAAUGGGUAAUAUAGCGUGAUAAAACAAUUACCCAUAAUAUGCCAUUGUACAAUAUUAUAUUUGUAAAACAUAAGUCUAUUGUUUAUGUAUGCAUAUUAGUAUGGACCGAGUAGUAUUGUAGCUUCAUUAAGUCGACAGGUGCCAUGGUGUUGUUUUUGUUGUUGUUGUUAUUGUUAUAUGACACAGCCCCCUUUUUUUGGUUACAGUGUAAAUCGAGUACUAACGACUCGAAACACAUAAGCUGUAAUCAUUUUAAAAACACACACUUUACACAUACGCACGCUAACUCACACACCAACGCACGUGCACAGAUGCACGUACGCGUGCGCACACACACGCACGCGCGCGCGCGCACACACACACACACACACACACACACACACACACACACACACACACACACACACACACACACACACACACACACACACACACACACACACACACACACACACACACACACACACACACACACACACACACACACACACACACACACACACACACACACACACACACACACACACACACACACACACACACACACACACACACACACACACACACACACACACACACACACACACACACACACACACACACACACACACACACAUGCAAGAAGUAGUAUAUAUUACUUUUUCAACAUUUAGAGCAUAUACGUUUACUCUAUUGCAGUUUUUCCGGGUCUUUGUUUGGACUGAAUCGCCUUGUCGCUAGCUUCUUUAGUUUAGUUUCUGUUUUUCAAUAAUUUUGAGAACAUCUUACACCUGAUGAUUACUUAUGAAUAAUUACAAUAUAUUAUUC
Dreissena polymorpha is the source of this 3054-nucleotide long non-coding RNA. RefSeq lists it as uncharacterized. NCBI's taxonomy places the organism in Eukaryota, Metazoa, Mollusca, Bivalvia, Myida, Dreissenidae. The record is from RefSeq and is a predicted model, not a curated record. The transcript is spliced from 2 exons.